GAGCGGCCGUAGCAAUACGGCAGCGGCAGACGGGAGAGUAACACGUGGGAACGUACCCUUCGGUUCGGAAUAACUCAGGGAAACUUGAGCUAAUACCGGAUACGUCCGUAAGGAGAAAGAUUUAUCGCCGAAGGAUCGGCCCGCGUCCGAUUAGCUAGUUGGUGGGGUAAUGGCCCACCAAGGCGACGAUCGGUAGCUGGUCUGAGAGGAUGAUCAGCCUCACUGGGACUGAGACACGGCCCAGACUCCUACGGGAGGCAGCAGUGGGGAAUAUUGGACAAUGGGCGCAAGCCUGAUCCAGCCAUGCCGCGUGGGUGAUGAAGGCCCUAGGGUUGUAAAGCCCUUUCGGCGGGGAAGAUAAUGACGGUACCCGCAGAAGAAGCCCCGGCUAACUUCGUG
Molecule: ribosomal RNA, 399 nt
Filed under: uncultured bacterium
Lineage: Bacteria
Description: bacterial SSU rRNA
Rfam family: Bacterial small subunit ribosomal RNA
Source: RNAcentral